UACGGAGGGUGCAAGCGUUGUUCGGAAUCAUUGGGCGUAAAGCGCGCGCAGGCGGCCGUUUAAGUCUCACUGUGAAAGCCCGCGGCUCAACCGCGGGAGGCCAGGGGAUACUGGACGGCUGGGGACAGGUAGAGGCGAGCGGAAUUCCGGGUGUAGCGGUGGAAUGCGUAGAGAUCCGGAAGAACACCAGAGGCGACGGCGGCUCGCUGGACCUGUUCUGACGCUGAGGCGCUAAAUCGUGGGGAGCGAACAGG
Molecule: unclassified non-coding RNA, 254 nt
Filed under: uncultured Gemmatimonadota bacterium
Lineage: Bacteria; Pseudomonadati; Gemmatimonadota
Description: uncultured Gemmatimonadetes bacterium contains 16S-23S intergenic spacer region
Rfam family: Bacterial small subunit ribosomal RNA
Source: RNAcentral